UACGGGGGGGGCAAGCGUUGUUCGGAAUUACUGGGCGUAAAGGGCGCGUAGGCGGCCUGCUAAGUCGGAUGUGAAAUCCCCCGGCUCAACCGGGGAAUUGCGCUCGAUACUGGCAGGCUCGAGGUGGGUAGGGGUGAGCGGAACUCCAGGUGGAGCGGUGAAAUGCGUAGAUAUCUGGAGGAACACCGGUGGCGAAAGCGGCUCACUGGACCCAAUCUGACACUGAGGUGCGAAAGCUAGGGUAGCAAACGGGG
This 254-nucleotide ribosomal RNA is filed under the name uncultured bacterium. RNAcentral describes it as "partial 16S ribosomal RNA". It matches the Rfam family "Bacterial small subunit ribosomal RNA", at positions 524 to 777 of the family's 1533-position model. The record is from RNAcentral.